Molecule: transfer RNA, 74 nt
Filed under: Candidatus Omnitrophota bacterium
Lineage: Bacteria; Pseudomonadati; Candidatus Omnitrophota
Description: Candidatus Omnitrophica bacterium tRNA-Lys
Rfam family: tRNA
About the family: Transfer RNA (tRNA) molecules are approximately 80 nucleotides in length. Their secondary structure includes four short double-helical elements and three loops (D, anti-codon, and T loops). Further hydrogen bonds mediate the characteristic L-shaped molecular structure. tRNAs have two regions of fundamental functional importance: the anti-codon, which is responsible for specific mRNA codon recognition, and the 3' end, to which the tRNAs corresponding amino acid is attached (by aminoacyl-tRNA synthetases). tRNAs cope with the degeneracy of the genetic code in two manners: having more than one tRNA (with a specific anti-codon) for a particular amino acid; and 'wobble' base-pairing, i.e. permitting non-standard base-pairing at the 3rd anti-codon position.
Source: RNAcentral
GCCCCCAUAGCUCAAUUGGUAGAGCAGCGCCCUCUUAAGGCGACGGUUUCUAGGUUCAAAUCCUAGUGGGGGUA